RNAcentral lists this unclassified non-coding RNA (336 nucleotides) under soil metagenome. Its description in RNAcentral is "partial contains 5.8S ribosomal RNA, internal transcribed spacer 2, and large subunit ribosomal RNA". The stretch from base 1 to 120 matches the Rfam family "5.8S ribosomal RNA", at positions 35 to 154 of the family's 154-position model. The record is from RNAcentral.
GAUGAAGAACGCAGCGAAAUGCGAUAAGUAGUGUGAAUUGCAGAAUUCAGUGAAUCAUCGAAUCUUUGAACGCACAUUGCGCCCCUUGGUAUUCCAUGGGGCAUGCCUGUUCGAGCGUCAUUUGUACCUUCAAGCUUUGCUUGGUGUUGGGUGUUUGUCUCGCCUUUGCGUGUAGACUCGCCUUAAAAUAAUUGGCAGCCGGCGUAUUGAUUUCGGAGCGCAGUACAUCUUGCGCUUUGCACUCAUAACGACAGCGUCCAAAAGUACAUUUUACACUCUUGACCUCGGAUCAGGUAGGGAUACCCGCUGAACUUAAGCAUAUCAAUAAGCGGAGGA